UACGGAGGGUGCGAGCGUUGUCCGGAAUCACUGGGCGUAAAGGGCGCGUAGGCGGCUUCUCAAGCGUGUGGUGAAAGUCCGGGGCUCAACCCCGGAUCGGCCGUGCGGACUGGGGAGCUCGAGUUCUGUAGAGGCGGGUGGAAUUCCGGGUGUAGCGGUGGAAUGCGUAGAGAUCCGGAAGAACACCGGUGGCGAAGGCGGCUCACUGGCUCGUAACUGACGCUCAUGCACGACAGCGUGGGGAUCAAACAGG
This 253-nucleotide ribosomal RNA is filed under the name uncultured bacterium. Its description in RNAcentral is "partial 16S ribosomal RNA". It matches the Rfam family "Bacterial small subunit ribosomal RNA", at positions 524 to 776 of the family's 1533-position model. The record is from RNAcentral.